GCCUUGUUGAUGAAAGAGGUUUACGGAGAAUGGCCAGACUGGUUCGAACUGACAAAGUCUAUGGUUACAUUAGGUCCUAAUUCCGUUUGGGUGUAAGCUCUGCUGCCCUGCCGUCAUCGCCUCUGGCAGGAUCUGACUGUUCAAGCAGGAUCGGAGCACUGAACCGUAGGAUGGGGCUUAUGCCAAAUGUUUAGGUCUCAUCCUGGGUGGGGGUAAGCUCCACUCCCCUGCCGUCAUUACCUCCAGCAGGAUCUGACAGUUCAAGCAGCACCGGAGCGCUGAACCGUAGGAUGGGGCUUACCCCAAAUUAAAUAUGUAUUUUUUCAUUCAUUUUAUCAACUGGUUUUCAACUGGUUUUGCUUUAGAAUCUAAAUUUUACAUAGGAUAUCAAGUGGCAACUGAACACUGUGCCACAAUUGAUUAUUGCACAAAAGUAAAAAACAAACAAAAAAACAACAAAACAAAUAUUGAAAUAUAUUAAUCUUACCAUGAACUGCAUUUAUCCAACAAUAUGCAAAAUUAUUAAUGCUAAAUAGGAAAAUUUACAAUUUUACGAAUGCCUCAGCAAUAGCAGAAGUGUGAUUUAUUUGGGGAUCAUAAUUUUAUGUAGUGGGUUGUAUUUUCUUUUACCUUACAUAGUAUUUUUCAUGAUAUUGAGUUUAAGGACAACCUGUCCAUGUUGGCAUCUGCCUAAUAUGAUUAGAUGUAUUUUAUUAAUUUGCUUCCCUGCUGUCCACGAUCCUGUCAGACCCAAACCCGACUAUCAAAUUCAGAAACAUGUACAGUAUUCAAUAAAGUAUGUUAAUGAAUAUUACAGUAUGAUACUAUAUGAGCAAUUUGACAAGAUUUG
Long non-coding RNA from Xyrauchen texanus (razorback sucker), 850 nucleotides. RefSeq lists it as uncharacterized. The record is from RefSeq and is a predicted model, not a curated record. NCBI's taxonomy places the organism in Eukaryota, Metazoa, Chordata, Actinopteri, Cypriniformes, Catostomidae. The transcript has 3 exons.